This 464-nucleotide ribosomal RNA is filed under the name Pseudomonas sp. 12M18. RNAcentral describes it as "bacterial SSU rRNA". It matches the Rfam family "Bacterial small subunit ribosomal RNA", at positions 107 to 567 of the family's 1533-position model. Lineage: Bacteria; Pseudomonadati; Pseudomonadota; Gammaproteobacteria; Pseudomonadales; Pseudomonadaceae. The record is from RNAcentral. RNAcentral also lists the same sequence under 1 other name.
UGAGUAAUGCCUAGGAAUCUGCCUAGUAGUGGGGGAUAACGUCCGGAAACGGGCGCUAAUACCGCAUACGUCCUACGGGAGAAAGUGGGGGAUCUUCGGACCUCACGCUAUUAGAUGAGCCUAGGUCGGAUUAGCUAGUUGGUGAGGUAAUGGCUCACCAAGGCGACGAUCCGUAACUGGUCUGAGAGGAUGAUCAGUCACACUGGAACUGAGACACGGUCCAGACUCCUACGGGAGGCAGCAGUGGGGAAUAUUGGACAAUGGGCGAAAGCCUGAUCCAGCCAUGCCGCGUGUGUGAAGAAGGUCUUCGGAUUGUAAAGCACUUUAAGUUGGGAGGAAGGGCAGUUACCUAAUACGUGAUUGUUUUGACGUUACCGACAGAAUAAGCACCGGCUAACUCUGUGCCAGCAGCCGCGGUAAUACAGAGGGUGCAAGCGUUAAUCGGAAUUACUGGGCGUAAAGCG